AAUAAAUAUGUGAUGAAUGACAUAGAAAGCACAUUUUUAUAAACAUAAACAAAAGUAUCAAGAUUUAUUUUUUUAGUUUUGUACUUUUUUAGUGUAUAAAGUGGGCCAAUCUGAUACACUAAUAAAAGUACCACUGUGAUAACAUGCUGCCUUUGAACAUGUACUGUGGUAUAAUCUCUUAAAUUGUACGGACUGACGGUUUUUUAUUUAAUUUGUUUGUUUGUAGUUCACGCGUCCUGUGUGAAUGUCUCGGCUCUCCUCUUUAGACCCUGCCCCCUCUUUCCUAUUGGUUAGACAGGAGAUGUUCUGUUUUUGACAAGAGAGGGUAAAGACCAUAGGUCACGACUCAUGGGUAACUGAAACCAUUUGUUAUUUCGUGAGUGAUUCGUAAAGAUUUACUGGAUCAGUCCAACGUGUCACCUUUUCCAGGAAUGGAUGGGCUUGGACAUGGGUCGUGUCCUCUGGUGGUGUUCGCCAUCUGUUUUCGUAUGUUCUGGGCCAUCCUGUGACCAGGCCUUCAUGGGAGACAGCAUCACUAUCUUCUACUCAGAUGAGUUGGGAGAGUAUCCUUACUAUGCUAUUGGCGGUGAACCAGUGUAAGGAGGUGUUCCUCAAAACGCCAGCCUGCACCAGCACCUCUGGAAGGCCGAUGACAACCUGAGGACUGACAUCCCAGAUAUGGGAUUUCACGGGCUUGCUGUCAUCGACUGGGAAAAGUGAAGGCCGCUGUGGGAACGUAAGGAAGUCUACUGGAAUGGCUCCAGGGCUUUAGUGAAAGCCAAACAUCCUACUCGGAAGCCGCCGGAUCAGAUAGAAAAGGAAGUGGUGAGGGGUUAAUUCUAGGAUGCUUCAUGGGCUUCAUGGAGGAGAUGUUAAAACUGGGCCGUAGAGAGCGUCCUGGAGGGUUAUGGGGGUUUUAUGGCUUCCCCUGCUGCUAUAAUUAUCAGUACAAGAUGUAUACAGCCGUGAUUCCCAUUCACAUCCAUUAUAAGACUGACAGACUGCAACGGUUUGAGUUAAAAAUCUCAGUUUGUGUUCUACUGAAGAAACAAAGUCGUCAACUACAUCUUGGAUGCCCUGGGGGUAAGCAGAUAAACAUCAAAUUUUCAUGUUUUGGGUGA
Long non-coding RNA from Cyprinus carpio (common carp), 1121 nucleotides. The record is from Ensembl. NCBI's taxonomy places the organism in Eukaryota, Metazoa, Chordata, Actinopteri, Cypriniformes, Cyprinidae.